UACGAAGGGGGCUAGCGUUGUUCGGAAUCACUGGGCGUAAAGGGCGCGUAGGCGGCGCGACAAGUUAGGCGUGAAAGCCCCGGGCUCAACCCGGGAAUUGCGCUUGAUACUGUCGUGCUUGAGGCCGGGAGAGGAUGGCGGAAUUCCCAGUGUAGAGGUGAAAUUCGUAGAUAUUGGGAAGAACACCGGUGGCGAAGGCGGCUAUCUGGCCCGUAAUUGACGCUGAGGCGCGAAAGCGUGGGGAGCAAACAGG
Molecule: ribosomal RNA, 253 nt
Filed under: uncultured bacterium
Lineage: Bacteria
Description: partial 16S ribosomal RNA
Rfam family: Bacterial small subunit ribosomal RNA
Source: RNAcentral